RNAcentral lists this ribosomal RNA (303 nucleotides) under uncultured bacterium. RNAcentral describes it as "partial 16S ribosomal RNA". It matches the Rfam family "Bacterial small subunit ribosomal RNA", at positions 507 to 807 of the family's 1533-position model. The record is from RNAcentral.
AGCAGUCGCCGCGGUAAUACGUAGGGUGCGAGCGUUAAUCGGAAUUACUGGGCGUAAAGCGAGCGCAGACGGUUAUUUAAGCAGGAUGUGAAAUCCCCGGGCUUAACCUGGGAACUGCGUUCUGAACUGGAUAGCUAGAGUGUGUCAGAGGGGGGUAGAAUUCCACGUGUAGCAGUGAAAUGCGUAGAGAUGUGGAGGAAUACCGAUGGCGAAGGCAGCCCCCUGGGAUAACACUGACGUUCAUGCUCGAAAGCGUGGGUAGCAAACAGGAUUAGAUACCCCAGUAGUCCCUGUCUCUUAUAC